Molecule: long non-coding RNA, 160 nt
Organism: Orcinus orca (killer whale)
Lineage: Eukaryota; Metazoa; Chordata; Mammalia; Artiodactyla; Delphinidae
Exons: 3
Source: RefSeq, a predicted model, not a curated record
GUUUCUACAAUGGCUGUUGCAUUUAUACCCUGCACACUCUCCCAGGCACUGGCCCUCCGGCGGAGGUGAGAGGUCCUCUGGCACAAAGGAAGACAGGACGCUGAAGAGCGCGUCGUCCUAGAUGAUUUCUCCGCUCCCCAAAGCCCUAGGAGGGAAGGAC